This 798-nucleotide long non-coding RNA is filed under the name Anser cygnoides (Swan goose). RNAcentral's name for it is "lncRNA (ENSACDG00005001611.1)". Lineage: Eukaryota; Metazoa; Chordata; Aves; Anseriformes; Anatidae. The record is from RNAcentral.
AAGCCAAGAAUCAGUGGACGUGGUGUCCUGGUACUUUUGCUCUGGAACUUCUGAUGCUCACCCAGUGGCUCCUCAUCUCUUCAGAUGUCACACACACUGUGGCAGUUGUGUCCUGGUUUCAGCUAGCAUAAAGUUAAUUUUCUUCGGUGGCUGCUCUGUGCUGGUAGUGCUGUAGAGAUCCACUGGUGUCAGAUCUCUGAAUGGGACCCUGCCACCAAACAUGUCCUAAUUCACCAGAGCAUCUAGUGUUGCCAGAAAAGAGGUGCACAGGUGAAAUUCUGGAUGAAGUGAAGCCUUCUCAUGAUGAGUCAUCACGUUACACAAAGUAAAAGGGUCUGGAUCCACAGUCAGAAGUCUACGGGUGUCCCAUCCCGGCACAGGGCCAGGGACUCCACCAUAGACUGCGGUGGGACUAAUGGAGCUUUUGUUCUGUGCUCACUCCUGGGCAAGUCACAGGUCUCAGCAAAGAGACUUCUUUCUUUCUCAGCUGUGAAUAAGAAAACUGGAAUCUGAAUGGCAGAAAAUGGUGGAAGAAAAAGAUUAUAAUUUACUAGAGACUAAUUGCUCAAAGCUAACUGAGGCCCAGUUCUCACAGCAUCUCAGGAGGGAAUUUCUAUUCCUGGAGGUACAAAGCACUCAAUCUUCCCUUCCUUCUCCUAUCAGCAGAGACAAGAGAACUUCAUAUUCGUUGUCUUUGGUGUGACACCACUAUUUAAUCCCUGUACCAUUAGCCAAGAACGGACAUGCAUACCUGUAUAUGUAAUGUUCAAAAUAAAAUGAAGUUUGUUUAUUUGUUCA